This 252-nucleotide ribosomal RNA is filed under the name uncultured bacterium. RNAcentral describes it as "partial 16S ribosomal RNA". It matches the Rfam family "Bacterial small subunit ribosomal RNA", at positions 524 to 776 of the family's 1533-position model. The record is from RNAcentral.
UACGGGGGGGGCAAGCGUUGUUCGGAAUUACUGGGCGUAAAGGGCUCGUAGGCGGCCACUAAGUCCGACGUGAAAUCCCCAGGCUUAACCUGGGAACUGCGUCGGAUACUGGAUGGCUUGAAUUCGGGAGAGGGAUGCAGAAUUCCAGGUGUAGCGGUGAAAUGCGUAGAUAUCUGGAGGAAUACCGGUGGCGAAGGCGGCAUCCUGGACCGACAUUGACGCUGAGGAGCGAAAGCUAGGGGAGCAAACGGG